This is a non-coding RNA of Monodelphis domestica (gray short-tailed opossum), 3460 nucleotides long. Lineage: Eukaryota; Metazoa; Chordata; Mammalia; Didelphimorphia; Didelphidae. The record is from RefSeq and is a predicted model, not a curated record.
UUAGUUUUCUUCUGUCUUGUUCUACUCACCUUUUUUUUUUUAAACCCUUACCUUCCAGAUUUUAGAAUCAAUACUGUGUAUUGCUUCUAAGGCAGAAGAGUGGUAAUAGCUAGGCAGUGGGGAUUAAGUGACCUGCCCAGGGUCACAUAGCUAGGAAGUAUCUGAGGUCAGAUUUGAAUCCAAGACCUCCCAUCUCUGAGUCUAGCUCUCAAUCCACUGAACCACCCUGCUGCCCUCUUCUAUUCACCAUUUUUGGGGAAGACCAUAAUUCCCUUUCCUAGCCCUCUCUCUCUAUGUUGUCUCUCCUAUCAGCAUAAAAGCUCUAUGAAAAACAGCUGUCUUUCUUUUGUGUUUGUAUAACCAGUCCCCCUCAUGUAAUAAGUGCUUCACAGAUGCUUGUGAUUCUUUCAUUAUUAUUACUAAUAAUUUUUGCAGCUGAGCAUUUCCAUCUAUGUAGCACUUUUUACCUUUCCAAAAAUAGCUGCACCUUAAAAAGUGCUUUCAUCACAGUUCUUCCAAUGGAAUAUGUCAUGCAAGAAUAAUUAUCACAUCUAUCCCACUGGACCUCAGUUUCCUCCCCUGUAAAAUGAGAAAAUUAAGCUCGGUGAUCCCUAAGGAGCACUCCACAUCAAAAUAAGCUUUGUCUCCAUGAGUUCCAAUGACUCAUUCUUUUUUUUUAAUCUCAGACGGUUUUUUAUAACUUCAGAAUAAGUCUAUAUACUUUACAGUCUGGCUGUUCGCAUUUCUGUAGCUUUGUUGGAAAUGUGAUUUUUUAUAUUUACAAAGAAAUAAUUCCCUAAGGAAACUAAUGCUCUCUACCAGACUGGUAAAUAUUUGGUAAACAUUUGAUAAACAGUGGCGAAUGUUUGUUUGUUUGUUUGUUGUUAAAUCCUUACUUUCUGUCCUGGAAUCAAUAUUGCUUAUUGGUUUGCAGGCAGAAGAGCUUCAAGGGCUAAGCAACUGGGGUUAAGUGAGUUGCCUGAGAUCACACAGUUAGGAAGUAUCAGAAGCUAGAUUUGGAUCUCCUGCUUUAGGGCUUGUUCUUAAUCCACUAAGAGACUUAGCUGGCCCCAGGGGUGGUAAAUGUAGAAUUUAUAACAUAAUCUACAAGAAGCACCUUAGAAUGAGAUGUUUCUUAACUACAAAGCUUCACUUGACCUCAUAGGAUGCCUGAGCCAACCUAGAAGGAGCAAAGGAUUCUGAAAUCCCAGAGCUGAAAAGGAGCUCAGCAUCCAUCAUCGUGUUUCCCCUGGACCCACACGAGAAUCUCUUCUCUCAUACUGACAAAUGAGGAACACUGUGCAAAACAUCCCUGGAUAUGCCUGAGAACAGAUCAGACAGUUCACCUCCUUGAGUGGCUUCUAUCUUAUAUAACCUGAAAGGGUCACCCUAUUUGCUAGUUGGAGGAACUCUUGAGAUUCUGUUCAGUGCCAUGAUUCUGCUUUCUGGGGCUUUCGGAUCUUUUAUGGGCUUUGAUCAUUUUAAUUAAGAAGUAAGAACAGACGCCCCUAAAUCAUAGUCUUAGUUCCCUGAGAUGAGUAACGGAAAUUAACAUCCUAAUUUCAAAUUAAUAAAAAAGCAGAAAUGUUUUAGAAUGCCCAGAAUAACUGUAAUCCCUAAAGGUGCAGAGUCCCAGGGUAAAACGCAUGGCUCUGUUCAACUCGGGGCAUGACCAUUCUGUAAACAUUUAUUAAGAUGGUUCCAUGUGCCAGACAUAUGGCACAGACAAAGAAAAAAGGGGUUGGGAGAAAGAGACCCUGUACUCCAAGCAUUUAUCUUCUAUUGAGGGGAACAGAGUAGAUAUGCUAUGGGAGAGGGCACUCACUGCUAGAAGGAAGAAGGAACAUGGUUGUAAAGAGUUUUGUAAAAUUUAAAGCCCUCUUUGUUAGCCAGGAUUACUUUCAAUUAGAAAUAAGUAAAAAAUCAAGAUGGCUAUGAAAAGGAAUUGUGGGUAUUCAGGAAAAUAUAUAAUGAACAUAUAUUUUGUGCAAUGUAGAGUGCUCGAUUUGGACUUGGAGGCUCUGGGUUUGGUAGUAUUUGAAGAGUGGUCAUGUGGAUGAGAGAUUACAUUCCUUAUGUUUAGCUCUAGAAGACAAAGCCAAGAACAAUGUUGUGAAAAUUUUACCAACAAUUAGACCCAUCCAAAAGUCAACUGGAAUACAAUGGGAAUUAAAAGGAAUAGUACUUAUACUCAUAGUCAUAAUGGCGGAAGUGGUAAUGAUCUUGGUACUGGUGCUGGUGGUAUGACAACAGCCCUGGGAGAUGGGUCCUAUUAUUAUCAAAUCCAUUUUGGAUGAAGAAAUUGAGGCCGAUUUAAAGUCAUUGACUUACUCAGAGUCACACAGCAAAUAAAUGUCUGAGGCAUUAUUCAAACUCCCAUCUGUCUAAGUUUAGCACAGUACCUAUCAGAUUACUUUUGCUUGACAUUUUUAAACAUCGUGUAGAGGAUAAGGUGGUAGAGUAGAUAGAGCAUACAGGGCUUGAGGUCUUGAUGACUGCCUCAGACAUUUAUUAGCUGUGAGACAGACAAUAAGAAUUCCUGAAGCUCCUGGGAAGGAAAAGACAGAUCUUGCCCUUGAGGAGUUUACAAUCUAUAUGGUGGAGACAACAAAGAUUGCUUUGUACAAACAAGUUAUAGACCGCAUAAACUGGAGGUAAUCAAUAGGAGGAUGGCAAUAGCAUUAAAAGGGAUCAGACAAAGCUUUUCAUAGAAUAUGAGAUUUUACAUAGGACUUGAAGAAAAUCAGGGGGUAGUGAUGGUGAAAGAAUAUUCUAGACAUGGAGAUCAGCCACUGAAAAUGCUUGGAGUUGGGAUACGAAGUGCCUAAUUUGUGGAAUAACAAGGUCUACUAGUAUCACUGGAUUGCUAGGUGAUUGGGAGGAGUAAAUGUGUAAGAACAAGGUAGUCAGUAUCAAAUUUUAAAGGUCUUUGAAUGUGUAAAAAUUAAAAUUAAUCUCAAUAAUAAAGAUAUUAUAUUUUAGGAGAUUUAUUAAUGAUCAUUAGAAAUAAAGGAACAAAAAAGGUAAAAUAAAAAGACCAUGUGCCCCUGGCUAAUCAGUAAUUUCAAACCCCCACACUUACCAUCUUUGCCUUCAAGCCCAAGAGAGGGGGACCUUCCACGUCUUGACCUAAUAUCCCCUAUCUAUAGGAAAUGCAUAAUGACAGGAAGUCAGUGGGCUCCUGGGAAAUGUAGUUCUUCUUUUAGGGUAACAGAUUUUCAAUUAUACAUUCCCCCUGAUGAUCAAUUGGGGGGGGCUAGUCUCCCCAAUUUGAUCAUUAAACAUAAUCAACUUUUAAAUUACAGUAAUUUGUGGAUAAAAGGGAAAAGAACAAACCAUGAUUGCUAGGUGCUUUGACAAAAAGCCUGUUUGGGGACAGUCCCCUUCAGCAUAAGAGUAUACACACACACACACACACACACACACACACACACACACACACACACACACACACACAAAA